UAGAGAUGGUAGAUCUACAAGUGGUUUCCUAAACAUCAUUUACAAAAAGUGUUGUAAUGUCCAAAGCACAACGUUAUCACAACGUUAAUUUGCAACGUUGUUGUUACGUUGUGGAAUAACGUUACAAUGUAACGUAAUACUAACGUUGUCAUAGAGAUACGCAAUUACGUUCUGAAAAUUCAAAUGCCGAAUAUAAAGACAGGUAAUGCAUUACUGCCUUGGUAUUCUGACAAGUUCAUGUUGAUUUUGAUAAAGCAGUUCUAUUCCUUUAUGACUAUCGAGAAGCAAACUCUAUAACGUUUCACCGACGUUUCAGAAACGUAGUUACAAAACGUUAUAAUAAUGUUGUGACAACGUUAUAUCACGACGUUACCAAUCCACAACCUUUCCACAACGUUGUGACAACGUCGUGUGUUAGCUGGGAGGGCGUUCCACUUUAACCCAAUUUCAUGUACUAAAACAAUGUCAAGCACUGAAACAAUAUCAGCUAGCCUACCAUUCUCCUCGUUGUCAGACAACAGUGAACAACCUUCCAGACCCACUGCCGAGAUCGGGUAUUCUUACAUCAGCAUCGUCAAUGGAUUCCUGUGGCCCGACUCCUGUGAAAUCCCACAUAACUUAUAUUAGAGAAGUGAGGGUUUCUACAGCAAACUGUUUCUGUGCCAUCAGACAGAUCGAGCCAGUGCUAUGGACAUCAAUUUAAAUACAAUGUAUGUACAUCGUGUAAUAAAAUAUUUGCGUUUCAAA
Molecule: long non-coding RNA, 747 nt
Organism: Haliotis rufescens (red abalone)
Lineage: Eukaryota; Metazoa; Mollusca; Gastropoda; Lepetellida; Haliotidae
Exons: 3
Source: RefSeq, a predicted model, not a curated record